UUACCAAUUUCUGAUUUUACCUCUAUGUUCUCUUGGACAGGAGAUUCAUACCUUGUCGCUGGUACGGAUGGUGUGGGCACCAAACUGAAACUUGCAUUUGAAACUGGUAUCCAUGAUACCAUUGGGAUUGAUUUGGUGGCCAUGAGUGUGAAUGACAUUGUAACCUCUGGAG
Elaeis guineensis (African oil palm) is the source of this 172-nucleotide non-coding RNA. The record is from RefSeq and is a predicted model, not a curated record. NCBI's taxonomy places the organism in Eukaryota, Viridiplantae, Streptophyta, Magnoliopsida, Arecales, Arecaceae.